This 784-nucleotide long non-coding RNA is filed under the name Lupinus mutabilis. RNAcentral describes it as "partial ncRNA". Lineage: Eukaryota; Viridiplantae; Streptophyta; Magnoliopsida; Fabales; Fabaceae. The record is from RNAcentral.
AGGAAACAGAGGCCAUGAGGAGGAAAUUGCAGGCUACUAAUAAUAAAAAGUUGAUACUGUCAGAUGAAGUUAGGUAAUUUGCAGUUCAUAGGGAUUUUCUUUAUUCAUUCUCAUGUUUUGAUUUGAACUCAAUAUUUUUUUCAUAGUUUGAUGUUUAUCAUCCAUGGAGUUUAUGCUCAGCACCAUCACAUUUUUAACUGCAGAUUUUUAAGGCAACGUUACAUAUACUUGCUGAAAAACCCUUCUCCAAAGCCUCAACCAAAGCAACUAGUUCCGAAGCCGCAAAAGCUCAAAAUCCAACCUUCCUACACCUCAAAGGGCAGGAAUUACAAAAGAAAGGAAUCUACUUCCCGCGUCCAUAAUACUUCUCCUUUGAAACCAAAAGAAAGGAUUUUCAAUGGGGCUGAAGUAGCAUUGCAAAGAACUGGCCUUAUGUUUGAUUUAAACCAAAAUGGUAGGAGCUUUAACAAAAAGGAUUCUUUUCUUCACAGUUCUGCCCCAGUUCUUGACUUGAAUCACAAUAAUAGGAAUCACAGUGGGGAAGAAGCCACAAAGAAGAGUUUAUGCAUCUGUUUUGGUGCCUUGCAGAGAGAAGAGGAGGAAUUACUGAGCAACACUGAAGCCAUGAGGACUGAAGAACCAAGGAAAAAUACACUAAGAGUCGCGAGUGAUGAGCAACACAAUGAUAUGAAGCUAUUGGUUUGUAGAAACAUAGGGGAUGGGUCAAAUAGAACAGGGAAGAGGAAGAUUUCAUGGCAAGACCAGGUUGCAUUAAGGGUUUGAU